RNAcentral lists this ribosomal RNA (30 nucleotides) under Chenopodium berlandieri subsp. nuttalliae. The record is from RNAcentral. Lineage: Eukaryota; Viridiplantae; Streptophyta; Magnoliopsida; Caryophyllales; Amaranthaceae.
CCUCGGGAAGUCCUCGUGUUGCUCCCCUUU